Molecule: ribosomal RNA, 206 nt
Filed under: uncultured bacterium
Lineage: Bacteria
Description: partial 16S ribosomal RNA
Rfam family: Bacterial small subunit ribosomal RNA
Source: RNAcentral
CACGCAGGCGGUCGGAUAAGUCAGAUGUGAAAGCCCCGGGCUCAACCUGGGAACUGCAUUUGAAACUGUCCGACUAGAGUCUUGUAGAGGGGGUAGAAUUCCAGGUGUAGCGGUGAAAUGCGUAGAGAUCUGGAGGAAUACCGGUGGCGAAGGCGGCCCCCUGGACAAAGACUGACGCUCAGGUGCGAAAGCGUGGGGAGCAAACA